Molecule: ribosomal RNA, 372 nt
Filed under: uncultured organism
Description: bacterial SSU rRNA
Rfam family: Bacterial small subunit ribosomal RNA
Source: RNAcentral
GGGGGGAGCAAGCGUUGUUCGGAUUUACUGGGCGUAAAGGGCGCGUAGGCGGCGCAACAAGUCACUUGUGAAAUCUCCGGGCUUAACCCGGAGCGGCCAAGUGAUACUGUCGUGCUAGAGUGCGGAAGGGGCUACUGGAAUUCUCGGUGUAGCGGUGAAAUGCGUAGAUAUCGAGAGGAACACCUGCGGCGAAGGCGGGUAGCUGGGCCGACACUGACGCUGAGGCGCGAAAGCCAGGGGAGCGAACGGGAUUAGAUACCCCGGUAGUCCUGGCCUUAAACGAUGGAUACUUGGUGUCCGGGGUUACAUAGUCCCCGGGUGCCGGCGCUAACGCAUUAAGUAUCCCGCCUGGGGAGUACGGUCACAAGACUG